This 75-nucleotide transfer RNA is filed under the name compost metagenome. Its description in RNAcentral is "tRNA-Ile". It matches the Rfam family "tRNA". From Rfam's summary of the family: Transfer RNA (tRNA) molecules are approximately 80 nucleotides in length. Their secondary structure includes four short double-helical elements and three loops (D, anti-codon, and T loops). Further hydrogen bonds mediate the characteristic L-shaped molecular structure. tRNAs have two regions of fundamental functional importance: the anti-codon, which is responsible for specific mRNA codon recognition, and the 3' end, to which the tRNAs corresponding amino acid is attached (by aminoacyl-tRNA synthetases). tRNAs cope with the degeneracy of the genetic code in two manners: having more than one tRNA (with a specific anti-codon) for a particular amino acid; and 'wobble' base-pairing, i.e. permitting non-standard base-pairing at the 3rd anti-codon position. The record is from RNAcentral.
GGGCGAUUAGCUCAGUUGGCUAGAGCGCACCCCUGAUAAGGGUGAGGUCACUGGUUCGAAUCCAGUAUUGCCCAC